Molecule: ribosomal RNA, 758 nt
Filed under: uncultured bacterium
Lineage: Bacteria
Description: bacterial SSU rRNA
Rfam family: Bacterial small subunit ribosomal RNA
Source: RNAcentral
GAUGAACGCUAGCUACAGGCUUAACACAUGCAAGUCGAGGGGCAUCAGGAAGAAAGCUUGCUUUCUUUGCUGGCGACCGGCGCACGGGUGAGUAACACGUAUCCAACCUGCCCUUUACUCGGGGAUAGCCUUUCGAAAGAAAGAUUAAUACCCGAUAGUAUAAUGAUUCCGCAUGGUUUCAUUAUUAAAGGAUUCCGGUAAAGGAUGGGGAUGCGUUCCAUUAGGUUGUUGGUGAGGUAACGGCUCACCAAGCCUUCGAUGGAUAGGGGUUCUGAGAGGAAGGUCCCCCACAUUGGAACUGAGACACGGUCCAAACUCCUACGGGAGGCAGCAGUGAGGAAUAUUGGUCAAUGGGCGCUAGCCUGAACCAGCCAAGUAGCGUGAAGGAUGAAGGCUCUAUGGGUCGUAAACAUCUUUUAUAUGAGAAUAAAGUGCAGUAUGUAUACUGUUUUGUAUGUAUUAUAUGAAUAAGGAUCGGCUAACUCCGUGCCAGCAGCCGCGGUAAUACGGAGGAUCCGAGCGUUAUCCGGAUUUAUUGGGUUUAAAGGGAGCGUAGGUGGACUGGUAAGUCAGUUGUGAAAGUUUGCGGCUCAACCGUAAAAUUGCAGUUGAUACUGUCAGUCUUGAGUACAGUAGAGGUGGGCGGAAUUCGUGGUGAAGCGGUGAAAUGCUUAGAUAUCACGAAGAACCCCGAUUGCGAAGGCAGCACACUAAGCCGUAACUGACGUUCAUGCUCGAAAGUGUGGGUAUCAAACAGG